Molecule: ribosomal RNA, 522 nt
Filed under: uncultured bacterium
Lineage: Bacteria
Description: bacterial SSU rRNA
Rfam family: Bacterial small subunit ribosomal RNA
Source: RNAcentral
UAGUCCACGCCCUAAACGAUGCUAACUCGAUGUUUGUUUAACUAUGAGCAUCCAAGGGAAACCGUUAAGUUAGCCACCUGGGGAGUACGUUCGCAAGAAUGAAACUCAAAGGAAUUGACGGGGGUCCGCACAAGCGGUGGAACAUGUGGUUUAAUUCGAUGAUACGCGAGGAACCUUACCUAGGCUCUAAUGUGAGCGCAAUUUUGUGAAAGCAGAAGUUCCUUCGGGACGCGAAACAAGGUGCUGCAUGGUUGUCGUCAGCUCGUGCCGUGAGGUGUUGGGUUAAGUCCCGCAACGAGCGCAACCCCUAUUCUUAGUUGCCAGUCUAGCUUCGGUUAGAGGGACUCUAGGGAGACUGCCACCGUAAGGUGUGAGGAAGGUGGGGAUGACGUCAAAUCAUCAUGGCCUUUAUGCCCAGGGCUACACACGUGCUACAAUGGUAGGUACAGAGGGUAGCGAAGCCGCGAGGUGGAGCCAAUCUCAGAAAACCUAUCACAGUUCGGAUUGAAGUCUGGAACUCGA